AUUUCGUUAAAAUGAAUGAAAAACAAUAUAUAAUUGGAAAUGACAACAGUAAAA
Molecule: small RNA, 54 nt
Filed under: Proboscia alata
Lineage: Eukaryota; Bacillariophyta; Melosirophyceae; Probosciales; Probosciaceae
Description: partial transfer-messenger RNA
Source: RNAcentral